GAGACCUGGUAUCAGCAUCUCCCCAAACUGGAUACCCCACUGCAAGCUGGGCACCGUGAGCAAGGACUAACCUGCGAUAAGCGCCACGCUCCCUCCGCUAUCUUGAGCAGCUGGUAGCGGAUUCAUUUCCCUCCCAAGCACAGGGCUCGCUUCUGGUAGCUCUAAUGAGGAGGAAGGCAAAUCCAACCUGGUGGCUGCAGGAGGCGUUGCGGGGGGAGCUCCCCUUGGGUGCCCACCCGAUGCUGCCCCUGCUCGUACCCUCCUGCGCUGCCCCUCGCACACGGUGGAUCAGCGACCCCAGCACUCCAUGCGGGCAGCAGAGCCUCUGGACACAGAAGGGCACAAAAAGCUGUCCCCAUCCUGCCCUGCCCCUGCCCUCGGGGCUCCCUUGCCUGCACAGGACGUCUCAGGAGCCAAAUCCAGGAGCCUGCUGGUGGAGGUGCAAUGAUCCAAGCUGUACCAGAAGCCUCACCUUUGACUUGACACAUGCUGGCCACCCGAGGCUUCCCACCACCUGCUGAAAACGCAUGCUUUUCCCCAUUUUCAGGGGACCGGGGGACUUCUCCCACCUGUUGCUCUUCCCCCAUUUUCCAGGCUUGCGGCUGUUUGAGUGGUAGCGGUCUGGAGCCUUUCCCCAGAGACACAUUAACUGCCUUGAGCCCUGCCCCAGAACAGGGUGAAAUGAGCUCUGCUUUUUUAACAGAACUUCAAUUUUUCCCCCACCUGUAUAAUACAUUCUGCUAAAUUUAUAGUUUUUCAAUCCCUUUGAUGUAAGGCUCUCAGAACACUUCCCGGCUAAUCUUACACAGCGGUGCCUGAAGUGCUGAAGGCACUGGCUGGAAAUGUGGCAGGGAACCAGAAAACAAUUAUCGGCAUUUUGGAGGGUGGGGCAGCAUUAAGAGAGAGCUAAUUUUAAAAUGAAUUAUGCCAUUAAAAUAUUUUUGUUCCCUUUGUCUGCUUUUUCAGCCACAAAAUCAUCAGAAGAGAAGCAGCGCUGGCACGUCCAGGUGAGCUGUCCCCGGGGUGGGGAGAGCUGCCCGUGGGACAGCUGCAGGGGGAGCUUUGGUGCUCCUGCCAGGGACACAUAAAAAGUGGCUUCUGGUGGUGACAAAGCAGGGAAACAACUGCUCAUGGUGCUCCGAUAUUUUUAAAUGAGGCAUUUGAUGGGAUGUGGAUUGUGCCUUUGCGGCCAUCUGCAGGCAGCAGCGUGGUCCUCAGCCCACGCUGGAGCCCAAUCCAAACCCUUCGUGAUGCGAGAUGCCAGCAUCCCUGGGGCCGACUUCAUAAUCCUGCCAGAGCUACUUUCUGCAUUCUCAGAGGACUUCCCCCAGCACAGUUUGAUUGGUACAAAUUCAAACUCUGCCUUAAAAGUUUCUAAUUUUGUGCAAUUUUCUCUUUGUGCUUUCCUUUGUGGUUUGGAACCUUUCAAUUUUGUCUUCUCUGAAAUGCCCAUGAAAUGACCACUCUCGCACACAAAGCCCAAGCACUGUCGAGAGCUUUGGAGGCAAAGUUUCCUUUAUU
Molecule: long non-coding RNA, 1521 nt
Organism: Anser cygnoides (Swan goose)
Lineage: Eukaryota; Metazoa; Chordata; Aves; Anseriformes; Anatidae
Source: Ensembl